This 2796-nucleotide long non-coding RNA is filed under the name Elaeis guineensis (African oil palm). RNAcentral's name for it is "long non-coding RNA (EGUI_LNC000733)". Lineage: Eukaryota; Viridiplantae; Streptophyta; Magnoliopsida; Arecales; Arecaceae. The record is from RNAcentral.
CUAUUGAUACCUUAAUAGGUUUGUUUAUAUUUACUCUCUACAAAACCAUAAUUAUAAUGUCUCUUAAUAAGCCUCUUUGCAUUACUGUUAAAAUGCUCUCCAAAAAGAAAUCCUUCUUAUUUAACAAGGUUAACUUUUCCGGUGAAUAAUUUUAUACACUGGCAAGAACUACUAUUCAGGCUGUUAUUUUCCAUGAGCUAAAGCAAAGUAUUCUUUAUUUAUGUUUAAUAUAUCCAAAAGUAAUACUAAUAUUUUCCAGAUCCUUGCAACUCUUUAUAGCAUAAGUUUCCUUGCAAAUAACAUCUCAUGGCUGUAGAGAAAUGGCCCAUUCAGCUUGUUUAACAUCCAAUGAUAUACCUACAGAAAAUCAAUCUCCAGAAUUAUAGUAUCGCAUGUUCACUAACCCAAGAAUCAUGUAACUUUUACUACCACGAGCACAAAAAAAAAACCUUUGCUCUACAGGAAAACUAGCUGCCAUUAUGUAAAGUAGACAUAAGUAUCUUGCAAGAUACAUGCUUAACUUUUAUUUUAUUUCACUUUUUUUUGUGAAGAUUCAAAGAGGUGUAUGGGAAGAGAAGUGGACGCUAUCAUAUUAGUGUUGCAGAAAGGAUUAGCAUGUUAACAAUAGGGAGAGUCCAAGAAAAGAAAGUUCUAUGUUUUCCUGUUUUGAUUAUUGUCACACCCAACUGUAGUGUAAACAUCGUUUAUCUUUUUAGACAUGGAUUCUUAUGAUCUUGUUUUUGGGAGUUGCAUUCCCUAUCCAGGUUUUGAGUAUCAUGUUCUGGGGUUUGUGCUGGUCUCACACAGCAUAUAAAACCAUGCUAUGCUUCACCAGUGCUCUCAUGCACUAACAUGCAUGAAGACUGACGUGCUAGGUGCAAGCAUGCAAUUGUGUUACAUGCUGGUGUGGCACUUGCAUGGUACAUUUCAAGUGCUACAACACAUAGCAGCUGGCACCUAAAUUAUCCUCCCCAUAAAUCUCUCAACAACUAUCUGAGGAGAAAGAGAGGCAAGAGGGUUAUUUUUGUCAGAAAUGGGUGUAUUCACGAGUCAUGACUCUGUUCUUUUAUUUGUUUUGAUGUGGUAUGAAUGCAAAGUUGUAAACAUAUUGGAGAGAGAGAACCUUUUGGAUACUAGAUGAACAUGUAAGUUUAAAAGAAACCAGGAAUUAUGAUUUUUUUUUCCUAGUUUGUUCUCCUCAGGUUGCCAGAAAGGGGUCUUUAGCUAUCUGGUCAUAUCAUUGGACACAUACCCACUAAUGUCUUGGACAUUGUGUUUGAGCUUGGCUCUUUUAGGCCUACUGUUCCUUAUGCCCCUUUAAUGUGUUUGUACAGAAUGAAUUAUGUGUUUACACAAACGUAUCAUGCAUGCAUGUAUAUAUAUUUUUUACUAUGCACAUACAGAUACGUGGAGGUUAUACACUAUUCUUUUAGUUGGUAUUUCAUGAGUCUGCAUCUUAUUUUGCUUUUUGGACACUCAAUCUAGGAUAAAUUGUGUUUACAGACAUUUAUUCCUAUGUCCUAUUUGCAUCCAUAUGCUUAGCAAAAUUUUUAAAGCAAUAUUUGGACACAUGUCUUGAGCAUGUUACUUGCAGGUCAGAUGGUGCAUCAACAUCUGAUGUUCGUAGGAUACGAAGAAGAAGCAUUAGUAUUACACCUGAGAUCAGUGAUGAUAUUGUGAGGUUGUUCUUUGAUUUAAUUUGAGUAGUCCUUUGUUCAUAUUUUUGAUCUCUUGCAGUUUCACCAAUUCCAAUUUCAUUUGUUCAUGUUCUUCUUUCUCGCCCUCCAAAUGUCCUUGUUGACAGAAACUUUAAAUAAGGCCUGGUAGUUGCAAAAAAUUGCAAAACAUUCAUAUCAUACAUUAUGCAGGGAAGUGUGCCAACACAUUCACUAUUGCAGUAUUAUGGCCUCAAACUUUUAAACAUCACGUGUCUAUUGGGUUAAAGGGACCAUGUAUAAUUUUGUACCAUAUCAUGGGCUUGCAACAAUGUAGGGUGGGGUCACAAAUUUAUCUGUAUGAACUCAGUUUCGUUCAAUGUCUCCAAAUUACACAUAGGAACUGUAUAAAUAAUUCUGUUACCAUAGUCCCAAACUUUCUGGAAAAUUUAUAAUUUGAUUUAAUUACUUAAAAGUAUUCAUUAUGUUUGCAUUUCAAACUUGUCUUAGGUGAAGUCUGUGUGCUUCUAUUGAUGUUUAUUUAUAUAUAAAAAAAGGGUGCAUAUACAAGAGUUCUGUAAUAUAAUCUGGUGUUAAUAAUGCUUAAACGUGUGGUAUGGGUAGUUAAAAAAAAAUUAUAUUCAUAAGCAUGAAGCAACACCUUUUUUUCCAAAAAAAAAAAAAGAUGUAGAUUUUCGCAUGGUAACUUUUCUUAUUAGGCUGUACUUUCAUCAUUGUGGAUUGGCAAGUAACUGGCAUACUGUGACAUGGUAUAUCAGUUGAUUCUACCUGAUUGAUACAUUUAACCUUGGGAACUGCUAUCAGGUAAACCUGGAAAUAAUUGUAGCUAUGCCGUAAUACUCCAACAAACAUGAAGAAUGAAUGCCCUUCUUACAAGCCUUCUUGGAGAUGAAUAUUGAAGGAUAUCAUUGCCGGUUGUGGAAUUUGGGCCAGAUAUUUGUCGAGUCAUUCAACAUGUACCACAAUACAAAUAUGUAAAACUCGAGUUAUAAUGGACUUAAGGAUCUUCCUAUUCCGGACCUAGUAUUAUUAAGGUAGGAUUCUAUAGAUUGUUCCUAUUCAUAGGGGACUUGUAAUCUCGCUGAAUCUAACCCACUUGACUACUUGAAAAGCCACAUAC